UUGGAUUGUGUUAGAUUUAGCCAUGCCCAAACUUCAGCUUCAGAUAAAACGUGACAUGAGGAAGUCUCUAGAAUUAAUAUUAUGGUCUGGUUGUGAGAGCCGGCAUGUUGGCACAGCUUCUGAUGAAACUAUAUAUAAAAUUCUGUGGGUUGGGAAGGGACCUUAAAAGAGAAGAGACAGGUUCUCCCUGAUUCUGCAAAAGGAUGAAGCCCGCAGAGAGAGAACAGUGCUUUAGAAUAGCAGUACUUGAUACAGUAAACUGGAUUUCACCCAGCUCCCCAAAUAGAGGAGGCAUUCCUGCAGUUCCUGGGGAACGUGUAAGGAGAGACAUUUUAGGAGAAGGUGGUCAGUUAAUAGAAACACCACGAGUGAGGGCUGGUUUCCAUAGAAGGACAUUUAAAGGAUUCGACAUCCUUGACCAAAAAGGUUUAGCCCUUUCAGAGGACAGAACGUGGAAAUCCCAUACCCUAGUAAGAGAGAAUUAGCCUCCAGGCCUGGAACCAUUAGAGUAUACAACCAUCUACCUGCGGUAUCCCCACAGCACCGAAUGCCUGUGGUGGGAGGGACAGCCCACCGCUUCAUCCCACCUGCACUUCCUCUGUCAGUCUUUGAGAUUAAAUGGGUUGACAGUUUGAUAAAGUUUUAUAUCCCUCCUUCAAUUUUCUUAGAUUGCUCCUGCCUCUGUGACCUAGUCUACCCUAGAAAGGCAUAAUGGAUCCAGGAAGGACUGCAACCUUGGCAUGGAAACACCGAAGCCUGACUUUCUUAGUCUCCCUGCAGCCU
Molecule: long non-coding RNA, 783 nt
Filed under: Homo sapiens (human)
Lineage: Eukaryota; Metazoa; Chordata; Mammalia; Primates; Hominidae
Description: HSALNT0132255
Source: RNAcentral